Molecule: long non-coding RNA, 322 nt
Filed under: Coffea arabica (coffee)
Lineage: Eukaryota; Viridiplantae; Streptophyta; Magnoliopsida; Gentianales; Rubiaceae
Description: long non-coding RNA (CARA_LNC004895)
Source: RNAcentral
CACCACCUCCACAGGCUUCCAUGUUCCCGCCAAUGCCAUUGCCUCCACCACAAUCAUGGCAGGGUCAACAACCACCAGGUCAAACUGCCUUACCUCCACCUCCAAUGCAGCAGUUCAGGAGCAUGCCGCCUCCACCUCCACAAAUUGCUCCAGCUUUACCAAGGCCUCCACCACCACCAGUAGGCAUGGUGACUGCUCCAAAUGUGUGGCGGCCACCACCACCUCCUCAGCAGUUAGGUGGUGGGCCCCCAUCUAUGCCACCACAUCUGCCACCCCCUCCUCCGGGCAAUUUUCCCCCACCUCCCCCUCCUUCAUAGAAGCU